UUGAACGCUGGCGGCAUGCCUUACACAUGCAAGUCGAACGGCAGCACGGGGGCAACCUUGGUGGCGAGUGGCGAACGGGUGAGUAAUAUAUCGGAACGUACCCUAGAGUGGGGGAUAACGUAGCGAAAGUUACGCUAAUACCGCAUACGAUCUACGGAUGAAAGUGGGGGCUCGCAAGACCCCAUGCUCAUGGAGCGGCCGAUAUCUGAUUAGCUAGUUGGUGAGGUAAAGGCUCACCAAGGCGACGAUCAGUAGCUGGUCUGAGAGGACGACCAGCUACACUGGGACUGAGACACGGCGCAGACUCCUACGGGAGGCAGCAGUGGGGAAUUUUGGACAAUGGGGGCAACCCUGAUCCAGCAAUGCCGCGUGAGUGAAGAAGGCCUUCGGGUUGUAAAGCUCUUUUGUCAGGGAAGAAACGGUGAAGGCUAAUAUCCUUUGCUAAUGACGGUACCUGAAGAAUAAGCACCGGCUAACUACGU
This 482-nucleotide ribosomal RNA is filed under the name uncultured bacterium. Its description in RNAcentral is "bacterial SSU rRNA". It matches the Rfam family "Bacterial small subunit ribosomal RNA", at positions 30 to 506 of the family's 1533-position model. The record is from RNAcentral.